AACGAACGCUGGCGGCAUGCCUAACACAUGCAAGUCGAACGAGCCCUUCAGGUCUAGUCGCGCACGGGUGUGUAACCGGUGGGAACCUUCCCUUAUGGUCAGAAUAACUCCCCGAAAGGGGUGAUAAUACCGGAUCAUGUCUUCGGACCAAAGAUUUAUCGCGUUUGGAUGGGCAGUCGUUGCAUUAGAUCGUUCGUAGGGUAAGAGCCUACCAAGGCGACGAUCCAUAGAUGGUCUGUGAGGAUGAUCAGCCACACUGGGAGUGAGACACGGCCCAGACUCCUACGCGAGGGAGGAGUGGGGAAUAUUGCAAAACGGGGUAAAGCAUGAUCGAGCAAUGACGGGAGAGUGAUGAAGGCCUUAAGGUUGUAAAGCUCUUUUAACCGGGAUGAUAAUGACAGUACCGGGAGAAUAAGCUCCGGCUAACUACGUG
RNAcentral lists this ribosomal RNA (433 nucleotides) under uncultured bacterium. Its description in RNAcentral is "partial 16S ribosomal RNA". It matches the Rfam family "Bacterial small subunit ribosomal RNA", at positions 29 to 507 of the family's 1533-position model. The record is from RNAcentral.